Molecule: long non-coding RNA, 5586 nt
Organism: Vespula vulgaris
Lineage: Eukaryota; Metazoa; Arthropoda; Insecta; Hymenoptera; Vespidae
Exons: 3
Source: RefSeq, a predicted model, not a curated record
CCUCGUUAGUCGGUGACCGGGUGGAAUAUCUCGAGCACGUCGAGGAGCACGACCGAUCGCGUAAUCGGCCUCUCCUCCGUGUUCCAUAAAUGGUUAGGAGUAACGAGAAAAAGCGAGGGACACUCGGUUGACAUAGGCCUACUACUACUACUACUACUGCUACUAUUACUAUUGCUAUUACUAUUACUAUUACUAUUACUAUUGCUACGACUACGACUAUUACUACUACUGCUACUACUGCUACUACUAUUACUAGUACUAUUACUAUCACGGUUCGUUUUAGUCGCGACAAAUUCAUUCGUCUCGAAAAUCUUCGAGCUCGCAUUUAUCUUAUUUAACGAGCUUAGAAAAGUAAAGUAUAAUAUCUUAUAAUAAAAAACAAAUAGACGAACGCGUUAGACAAAGAAACGUUUUAGCAACUACAUUAUUUGAUACUUUUCAAUAUACAUACAUACACAUAUAUAUAUAUAUUCCAUUUAUGAUAAGAAAUUUAUUUCGUUUUAGACUAUUCUAACGAACCUUACACGAUCGACUAGGAUAAAUGAUUUUUUUCUUCGAUAGUUCUCGUAUAGGAACUACUUCGUAUCUCGAUCGAAGGGAGCGAGAGAAGGUGGACUAAUCUAGUUACGAUGUCAGAUCGAUAUUUUAGUAAACCAUUUAAUGAAGCACGGAAACGGUACGGUUAACGUAGCUAACUCCAACCAGCCACGUAUACUUCUACUUUUGGAGAUAAUGGCAGUUCCUGUCCAUUGCCGGACCCAGAAGCUCGUUAUUUCCCUCUAGAAUUGCUACCUUAGCCAUUGCCGUUCGAUACCACUUUGGCGUUAUUGCCCGGUGUCCGAUCAAGAUGGACCGUUUCUAUUACCACGUCUCGUACACUCGACAACGUCUCCCCGUUCGUACUCUUCUUGUUUUUGAAACUCAAAAAUGGCUCGCCGCUUACGUUUUCCGAUAUUAUUUUCUUUUCAUUUUAAUAACAUAACAUUUACGUCGAAGUAUAUUAAGAAUCCUCAAGGAUCAUCCUUUGAAUUUAUCGUGCGCGUUGAACUUUAUCGAAUACCUUAGAAAAUUUAUUCCAGAAAAGACAUUAGCAAAUUCUUAAUGCACCUUUUCCUUUGUUGCACUUCGAUUUGCAUUAUAAUGCGAUACUCGAGUGUAAUACUUGUUCGAUGCCACCGUUCGAACGCAUACUCGACGUGAAGUACUCAACAAUUAUGUAAAUUCGUACCGUCAUAAUAUGAGAGUUAAAUAUACAUACAGAAAGAGAAAGAGAUAGAGAGAGAGAGAGAGAGAGAGAGAGAGAGAGAGAGAGAGAGAGAGAGAGAACAAGAGAAAGAGAGAGUGCAUCGAACGAUUAUCGAAACGUCAGAUAGGCGAGUCACAGGUGUUGAAUCAAAAUUAUUCUUCGAAGUACAUUUUGAUCGUCUAAAAAAACGACAGGCACGAAGAUAAAGACCUUAACCAAGGUACAGUAGUAUAUCCUAGCGAGAAAGGAUCCUUUCCUUCCGCGAUUCGAACUUUCACAUCGUACGAGAGUGGAAUCGUGCUACAGGUGUGCGGGGUCGUCGAAUGCCGUUGGAGUUUUACGAGGUUAAUGUGCAAAGGCAUCGUCGUAGUCGUCGUAGUCGUCGUAGUCGUCGUCGUCGUCGUCGUCGUCGUCGUCGACGUCGUAGCGCCGAUAUCAGAAGCAAAGGGGAAAUAGACGGUCAGACGAAGAGAGAGACAGGUGGAAGAACUAUAUACGUAGAGUCGAGUCGACGUUUAAACACGCACGCCUUCUUCUCUCUACCGGCGAGAAAUUGAAAGAGAAAAAUUGUUCGAAGUUGGUUUGCUGCUUUGGGGGAUGCUGCUUGGCAUCGGACGACGAGACAGAGAGUGAAAGAAUGAAGAUGAACGAAGAAGAAAGAAAAAGAAGAAGAAGAGAGGUAGACGAAGAAGAAGAGGAAGAAGGGAAGAGGAGAGAAGGUCGCAUGGAAAAAUGUCUAAUUUAUUGGCCAACCGUUGAAGAACUCGUACGGACUCCCUACGUAUACAUACUCAGCGCGUGCUCGUUCCUUUUUGUUGUUAGAAAUACGCAGGUGAAACAGGCUUGGCUCUUUCUUGCGAAGGUUAAACACCUGCGACAAUGCUUCUCGACGCCCUGAACUUCGAUGUCGUGACCUUUUCUUCCUCCGGCCCACCGAUCCACGAUCCACACUAGUCGUCUGUCUAUGUAUGUAUCCUUUUAUAGGUGUGUCGAAACGAUGCCUUUCAUCGACUUGAUAUCGGAUACUUUGCUAGAUACAUAUAUAUAUGUAAUAGCUAACCGUAUGUUAAUCGAAGGUUAUACUUUGUUAAAGAAACAUUUGUCGAUCGUUCUCGAAAAGUAAAUCUAGCAUCUAUAGAUUAGGAUUAUUAACGUAAUACCGAAGGCAUAGAGAGAAAGACGGAAAAAAUACGAAAGGGAAAGGUCAUAAAUUACGCUACUACUAGUAAGAGAUAAGAUUGAUUUAGAAAGGAUCUACGAACUGAGAGAAAGAACGUGCGAUUUUCUUUAUCUUAAUUUCUUUUUUCGAAAAACUUCUUUCGUGGCAUUGACGAGACGAGUCGAUUAAGAAAGUAGUAUAAAUCCGUGAUUAAAAAGACAUAGGUUAUAUCCUCUUAGAGUUAGCCGUGGAAAAGAAUCCUCGUUUCCAGGCUCACACAAGAUCGGUGUGUACAUACGCGGUAUCCCUUUCAUUGGAUCCUUCAUUAUACUCACUUAUAGUACUCGCUUAUAGCGCUACGUAAUCUCGGUCGCAUCUCUGAUUUCAAUCUAUGCACUUACAACGCUCAGCACGCGAACGAUCUACAAAUCAGGCCUUAGCUAUUUCUUUUCAUUUUUUCUCUUUCUCGCGUGUAUUCUCGGCUUCUCUUUCUACGCACGCGUUGCGUAAUUUGCGUGAGUUAUUGGCUCGUGGUAGGUCCAGUUCUCGAUCCUGGUAUCGGGAGCAUUCGCAGGACAAACAGGUAAAGAGAACGAAAGGAAGUCGAGGGGGAUCCUUUCUCAAGAGUUUAGAAUCUAAUGUAGGUGAGAGAGAGGGAGAGAGAGAGAGAGAGAGAGAGAGAGAGAAAAGAAGUGGAGGAAGUGGAAAGAGAAAAAGGACAGAAGGAUUUUCUUUUUUCUUCCAUUUCUCCUUUUUUUUCUUUUUUUUUCGGCGAAAUUCUGUAACAUUCGAUUUUCCAUAUCGAGAACGAAACGAGACCGUACGAUAUAUUUCGAAACGAUCACUUAACGAUAUUCGGCUUAUUUUUUUUCCUCUCUUUUUUUUUCUUUUUCUUUUCUACUUAUUUUUUUUCUCCUUUUUCUUUCUCUUUCUUUUUCUCUUUCUUUCACUUCAAUCCUUUACUUCUAUUCCUUCUCCAGGGAUAACACAGAUCCGAUCGGAAUCGCACGGCUCCCACGAGACGCCUCCUGUGUAUACGAUUAACCGUAAACGGAUAAAUAUUAUGGCUGAGUAGGGUUUGCUGCUCGCGGAGCAAACAGACGCGGUCACGGGAAAUUAAUUAAUUAUCGCAAAGCGGACGAGUGCCGAUUGCCGUUGCAAAAGAGCCAUACACUCGUCAAAGGAAUGCACGAGCGACGCACUAUUAUCCGAGACACGCUACCGUGUCGUUCGUGAAUUUCUUAAGAUUCGAGAAGGAAUCGAUUCCGCAUGAAAAUGCCGAUUUAGAAAGGUAAGCCAUGUUUCUCUUGAUCGCGUUAGAGAUUUGUCGAUGGCGAGGCAUAUACGAUUGCGAUUUUCAAUUCAACUAGUAUACAGGGAAUUAUCGGUCUCGUUAAAUUCUAUAACGUUCGUAUAUUUCCUACAGGCAAAUCGGGAGUCUUCAAUAAUAAUAUCGACAUAUCGAAACUCUGAUCGUUUCGAUCUAUGAGAGAGCUUGUCCUUCGAGGAUUACGGUACGUUGAAGUAUGAGGAGGGAGGGAGAGAGAGAGAGAGACAGAGAACAAUGCAAGGCGAUGCGAUAAUCAUAUUGCACAAGGUAGUUUGUCUCGCUCAAGGCUAGUGCGUUUCCAGUGGAAUGAGAUUAUUUCCCGCAAAAGGUAAUAAUCGACAGAAACGUAGUCCGGAGCUAACCCGUGAGCUUCCCACGUUACGAGAUUUAUUAAAUUCCCUAGCGAGAGAGAUGAAAUAAAAAGAAAAGAAAGAGAUGAUAAAAAUGGAAAAAGAAAAAAACAAGGAGAAGAAGAAGAAAAAAGAGGAUACACGCGCUUAUAGUAGUCCCAUCGCUUUUACAUACAUCGCUAAGCAAAACGUCGAGAUCUCACGAACAUCCAAGAGACGUUGUUUGCAACCACGAAAAUACCAUAAAUCACGCUCACGGUCUAACCUUUUUUAUUCAUGCUAAUGGAGUAAACCGUUCGUUAAAUUUCACGAUUCGCGCGUUAGACGAGAUUCUCUAACGGAUAAUGUCCUUUACUUCGUUUAUUACGCUCUUAUCGAGAUCCUCGUUGACUAGGAGAAUGAGAGCGUUAGGUGCGAAACGAAGAAUUAACUUCGUUGCACCUUGUAUAGGGUACCUUAUGGCUUUAGUUAACUUUCGGACAAACCUAAAGGCCAAUUUUCUACUCUACUCUACCAGUUUAGAAGCAACGACGUUUUACGAGAUAAACGAUUCUUGAUAUUUAACGAGACGAGUUCGGAGCUUCGAGUUUGAGUUCUCCUUAGUAGUCAAGUGAAAGCAAAUAACGAGGUUAGAAAAAAGUAUGUACACCGAAAGUGGGGUACGGAUUUGACGAUGCAAUUUGGGCCACAGCAAAUUAUCUUCCCUCUCUCUCUCUCUCUCUCUAUCUCUCUCUCUAUCUAUCUAUCUAUCCGUCUAUCUUUUUCUAUUUUAGUAAUACUCGUCAAAGUAAUAGAUCCAAUUUAAGACGCAAUCUCGAGGCCCACGACGACGAGAUUCUCCUCAUUUUGCUUGAAACUGCAUUCGAUCUCUACAUUCGUCCCUCUACGUUCGCAAUGCUUCCUCGCUGGGUUCCUUUACCAAUAACCCAAUCCAGCUUUGCGACGACUCCCCAGACACGAUUUGUCAAUCGACUCGGCGGACUCCAUUACAUCGUAAACUCGACGAAAGUUACAUCGACGAGAAUAACCAAAGAGAUUGUGGAGCAGAAUUUCAAUGGAAGAUAAAAAGAAAAAAACACGAGAAAAAAGAAAAAAAGAAACAAACAAACAAAAAUAACAGAAUAACAGAAUUGACGGUGCACGCAAGUCGAGAUAAAAACGAACGAAAUCGAUCGUUCUAAUUUCGCUUUUUCACUUUUAUUUUUUGUUUAAUUUAUUAAAAAACAUUGGUAUUAUAUCGGUGUCGUAAAAUAUUACGUAUCUAAUCAAGCAAUCGUAAAAGAUAUUAAACAAGAUCGAUGAUAAUGAAUCAUGCAUUCCUGUCUCUACACUCAUGUCUUCUUCCUUUCUCUAUCUUUCGGAGAAUAAGAAAGGAGAGGUCCAACAAUGGGUACAUUAUCUAAACGUUUAUUACGUAGCUAGUUUCUCGCACGAUGAAUACUUUCCCACGGUUGAUCGUCCUCUUAAAGAAUGCGUCCUCCCUCGUAACAGGGUGUUCCAU